Chlorocebus sabaeus (green monkey) is the source of this 56-nucleotide microRNA precursor. NCBI's taxonomy places the organism in Eukaryota, Metazoa, Chordata, Mammalia, Primates, Cercopithecidae. The record is from Ensembl.
GCCGGGUCCGGGGUCCGGUGCGGAGUGCCCUUCGUCCUGGGAAACGGGGUGUGGCC